Molecule: ribosomal RNA, 1011 nt
Filed under: Lycorma delicatula (spotted lanternfly)
Lineage: Eukaryota; Metazoa; Arthropoda; Insecta; Hemiptera; Fulgoridae
Description: bacterial SSU rRNA
Rfam family: Eukaryotic small subunit ribosomal RNA
Source: RNAcentral
GAUUAGCCAUGCAGUCUCAGUACAAGCCGAACUAAGGUGAAACCGCAAAAGGCUCAUUAAAUCAGUUAUGGUUCCUUGGAUCGUACAAUCCAUUACUUGGAUAACUGUGGUAAUUCUAGAGCUAAUACAUGCAAACAGAGUCCCGACCAGAAAUGGAAGGGACGCUUUUAUUAGAUCAAAACCAAUCGACGUCCGUCUUCCUCCGGGUCGACGGCGCCGUACUCCUUGGUGACUCUGAAUAACUUUUGGCAGAUCGCACGGUCUUCGAACCGGCGACGCAUCCUUCAAAUGUCUGCCUUAUCAACUGUCGAUGGUAGGUUCUGCGCCUACCAUGGUUGUAACGGGUAACGGGGAAUCAGGGUUCGAUUCCGGAGAGGGAGCCUGAGAAACGGCUACCACAUCCAAGGAAGGCAGCAGGCGCGCAAAUUACCCACUCCCGGCACGGGGAGGUAGUGACGAAAAAUAACGAUACGGGACUCAUCCGAGGCCCCGUAAUCGGAAUGAGUAUACUCUAAAUCCUUAUACGAGUAUCAAUUGGAGGGCAAGUCUGGUGCCAGCAGCCGCGGUAAUUCCAGCUCCAAUAGCGUAUAUUAAAGUUGUUGCGGUUAAAAAGCUCGUAGUUGGAUCUGUGUCCCGCACCGUCGGUUCACCGCCUGUCGGUGUUCAACUGGUGUGUAUGCGGGACGUCCUGCCGGUGGCGGUCCGGUUCCCCGUGGGUACGUAGGGGCGUCCUUGCUUACGCUUGCGUCGUCCCCGAAGGCCUGCGCGGUGUAUCCGGCCGCCUUUUCAAUCCCGUCGCGGUGCUCUUCACUGAGUGUCGAGGCGGGCCGGCACGUUUACUUUGAACAAAUUAGAGUGCUUUAAGCAGGCCCUGUCCCGCCUGUAUGUUGUGUGCAUGGAAUAAUGGAAUAGGACCUCGGUUCUAUUUUGUUGGUUUUCGGAAUCUGAGGUAAUGAUCAAUGGGGACAGGCGGGGGCAUUCGUAUUGCGACGUUAGAGGUGAAAUUCUUGG